UGGGGAAUAUUGGACAAUGGGCGAAAGCCUGAUCCAGCCAUGCCGCGUGUGUGAAGAAGGUCUUCGGAUUGUAAAGCACUUUAAGUUGGGAGGAAGGGCAGUAAGCGAAUACCUUGCUGUUUUGACGUUACCGACAGAAUAAGCACCGGCUAACUCUGUGCCAGCAGCCGCGGUAAUACAGAGGGUGCAAGCGUUAAUCGGAAUUACUGGGCGUAAAGCGUGCGUAGGCGGCUAAUUGAGUCGGAUGUGAAAUCCCCGAGCUUAACUUGGGAAUUGCAUUCGAUACUGGUUAGCUAGAGAGUGGGAGAGGAUGGUAGAAUUCCAGGUGUAGCGGUGAAAUGCGUAGAGAUCUGGAGGAAUACCGAUGGCGAAGGCAGCCAUCUGGCCUAACACUGACGCUGAGGUACGAAAGCAUGGGGAGCAAACAGG
This 429-nucleotide ribosomal RNA is filed under the name Pseudomonadota bacterium. RNAcentral describes it as "Proteobacteria bacterium partial 16S ribosomal RNA". It matches the Rfam family "Bacterial small subunit ribosomal RNA", at positions 355 to 776 of the family's 1533-position model. The record is from RNAcentral. Lineage: Bacteria; Pseudomonadati; Pseudomonadota.